GAUGAACGCUGGCGGCGUGCCUAAUACAUGCAAGUCGAGCGAACGGACGAGAAGCUUGCUUCUCUGAUGUUAGCGGCGGACGGGUGAGUAACACGUGGAUAACCUACCUAUAAGACUGGGAUAACUUCGGGAAACCGGAGCUAAUACCGGAUAAUAUUUUGAACCGCAUGGUUCAAAAGUGAAAGACGGUCUUGCUGUCACUUAUAGAUGGAUCCGCGCUGCAUUAGCUAGUUGGUAAGGUAACGGCUUACCAAGGCAACGAUGCAUAGCCGACCUGAGAGGGUGAUCGGCCACACUGGGACUGAGACACGGUCCAGACUCCUACGGGAGGCAGCAGUAGGGAAUCUUCCGCAAUGGGCGAAAGCCUGACGGAGCAACGCCGCGUGAGUGAUGAAGGUCUUCGGAUCGUAAAACUCUGUUAUUAGGGAAGAACAUAUGUGUAAGUAACUGUGCACAUCUUGACGGUACCUAAUCAGAAAGCCACGGCUAACUACGUGCCAGCAGCCGCGGUAAUACGUAGGUGGCAAGCGUUAUCCGGAAUUAUUGGGCGUAAAGCGCGCGUAGGCGGUUUUUUAAGUCUGAUGUGAAAGCCCACGGCUCAACCGUGGAGGGUCAUUGGAAACUGGAAAACUUGAGUGCAGAAGAGGAAAGUGGAAUUCCAUGUGUAGCGGUGAAAUGCGCAGAGAUAUGGAGGAACACCAGUGGCGAAGGCGACUUUCUGGUCUGUAACUGACGCUGAUGUGCGAAAGCGUGGGGAUCAAACAGGAUUAGAUACCCUGGUAGUCCACGCCGUAAACGAUGAGUGCUAAGUGUUAGGGGGUUUCCGCCCCUUAGUGCUGCAGCUAACGCAUUAAGCACUCCGCCUGGGGAGUACGACCGCAAGGUUGAAACUCAAAGGAAUUGACGGGGACCCGCACAAGCGGUGGAGCAUGUGGUUUAAUUCGAAGCAACGCGAAGAACCUUACCAGAUCUUGACAUCCUUUGACAACUCUAGAGAUAGAGCCUUCCCCUUCGGGGGACAAAGUGACAGGUGGUGCAUGGUUGUCGUCAGCUCGUGUCGUGAGAUGUUGGGUUAAGUCCUGCAACGAGCGCAACCCUUAAGCUUAGUUGCCAUCAUUAAGUUGGGCACUCUAAGUUGACUGCCGGUGACAAACCGGAGGAGGGUGGGGAUGACGUCAAAUCAUCAUGCCCCUUAUGAUUUGGGCUACACACGUGCUACAAUGGACAAUACAAAGGGCAGCGAAACCGCGAGGUCAAGCAAAUCCCAUAAAGUUGUUCUCAGUUCGGAUUGUAGUCUGCAACUCGACUACAUGAAGCUGGAAUCGCUAGUAAUCGUAGAUCAGCAUGCUACGGUGAAUACGUUCCCGGGUCU
This 1372-nucleotide ribosomal RNA is filed under the name uncultured bacterium. RNAcentral describes it as "bacterial SSU rRNA". It matches the Rfam family "Bacterial small subunit ribosomal RNA", at positions 28 to 1381 of the family's 1533-position model. The record is from RNAcentral.